Molecule: long non-coding RNA, 522 nt
Organism: Clupea harengus (Atlantic herring)
Lineage: Eukaryota; Metazoa; Chordata; Actinopteri; Clupeiformes; Clupeidae
Exons: 2
Source: RefSeq, a predicted model, not a curated record
ACUGCUGAAAGCUGCUGGGAGACUGAAGACCGACCGCGCCAGGCGUAGAUCCGCAUACAGGCUCAUACAGCGACAGCUGGUUAGGCUUAAUCAUUAUAAUAAGAAUGUCGAAUGUUGCAAGGAGAUAUGCUUUACAAUUAAGUGACAUUUUGUGGUCAUUUUGCGCAGUUUCUCUACAGAGUUGGCUGCACCGAUGAAAACUGCAGGCCAACGUACAUAUAUCCAGCCGAGUUAAAAGAGCUGAUUCGUGCCGCCUUCCCAGACAAACUCUGCAAUUACCCCGACCCAUGUAAUGAAAAGAUACAUGCAGUCACCUUGGAUGAUCUCCAUAAUGUGAGCCCGGCUAAUCAGAGCUGGGUAUCCUAUGUAUGAAUAAGAUCACGACGCUUCUGAUUCAUUUCUGUAGUGAUUAAAAUGACUGUAGUGAUUGAAAUGAAGUAGCUUUUUACAUGAUAUCGUGGAUGUGGUGUAAGUUUAGACGACGUGUUUGUUUCAUACAAUAAAGGCAACAAAGUAUUGUAA